CGAAACUGGCAGGCUUGAGUCUUGUAGAGGGGGGUAGAAUUCCAGGUGUAGCGGUGAAAUGCGUAGAGAUCUGGAGGAAUACCGGUGGCGAAGGCGGCCCCCUGGACAAAGACUGACGCUCAGGUGCGAAAGCGUGGGGAGCAAACAGGAUUAGAUACCCUGGUAGUCCACGCCGUAAACGAUGUCUACUUGGAGGUUGUGCCCUUGAGGCGUGGCUUCCGGAGCUAACGCGUUAAGUAGACCGCCUGGGGAGUACGGCCGCAAGGUUAAAACUCAAAUGAAUUGACGGGGGCCCGCACAAGCGGUGGAGCAUGUGGUUUAAUUCGAUGCAACGCGAAGAACCUUACCUGGUCUUGACAUCCACGGAAGUUUUCAGAGAUGAGAAUGUGCCUUCGGGAACCGUGAGACAGGUGCUGCAUGGCUGUCGUCAGCUCGUGUUGUGAAAUGUUGGGUUAAGUCCCGCAACGAGCGCAACCCUUAUCCUUUGUUGCCAGCGGUCCGGCCGGGAACUCAAAGGAGACUGCCAGUGAUAAACUGGAGGAAGGUGGGGAUGACGUCAAGUCAUCAUGGCCCUUACGACCAGGGCUACACACGUGCUACAAUGGCGCAUACAAAGAGAAGCGACCUCGCGAGAGCAAGCGGACCUCAUAAAGUGCGUCGUAGUCCGGAUUGGAGUCUGCAACUCGACUCCAUGAAGUCGGAAUCGCUAGUAAUCGUGGAUCAGAAUGCCACGGUGAAUACGUUCCCGGGCCUUGUACACACCGCCCGUCACACCAUGGGAGUGGGUUGCAAAAGAAGUAGGUAGCUUAACCUUCGGGAGGGCGCUUACCACUUUGUGAUUCAUGACUGGGGUGAAGUCGUAACAAGGUAACCGUAGGGGAACCUGCGGUUGGAUCACCUCCUUACCUUAAAGAAGC
RNAcentral lists this ribosomal RNA (917 nucleotides) under Salmonella enterica subsp. enterica serovar Heidelberg str. RI-11-013312. Its description in RNAcentral is "bacterial SSU rRNA". It matches the Rfam family "Bacterial small subunit ribosomal RNA", at positions 628 to 1533 of the family's 1533-position model. Lineage: Bacteria; Pseudomonadati; Pseudomonadota; Gammaproteobacteria; Enterobacterales; Enterobacteriaceae. The record is from RNAcentral.